This 547-nucleotide ribosomal RNA is filed under the name Oscillospiraceae bacterium. RNAcentral describes it as "bacterial SSU rRNA". It matches the Rfam family "Bacterial small subunit ribosomal RNA", at positions 1 to 564 of the family's 1533-position model. The record is from RNAcentral. Lineage: Bacteria; Bacillati; Bacillota; Clostridia; Eubacteriales; Oscillospiraceae.
UUAAUAAAGAGUUUGAUCCUGGCUCAGGACGAACGCUGGCGGCACGCCUAACACAUGCAAGUCGAACGGAGUUAUGGAAGCUUGCUUUCAUAACUUAGUGGCGGACGGGUGAGUAACACGUGAGCAACCUGCCCUUGAGAGGGGGAUAGCUUCUGGAAACGGAUGGUAAUACCCCAUAACAUAUAUUUUAGGCAUCUAAGAUAUAUCAAAGAAAUUCGCUCAAGGAUGGGCUCGCGUCUGAUUAGAUAGUUGGUGAGGUAACGGCUCACCAAGUCGACGAUCAGUAGCCGGACUGAGAGGUUGAACGGCCACAUUGGGACUGAGACACGGCCCAGACUCCUACGGGAGGCAGCAGUGGGGAAUAUUGCACAAUGGGGGAAACCCUGAUGCAGCGAUGCCGCGUGGAGGAAGAAGGUUUUCGGAUUGUAAACUCCUUUUAACAGGGACGAUAAUGACGGUACCUGAAGAAAAAGCUCCGGCUAACUACGUGCCAGCAGCCGCGGUAAUACGUAGGGAGCGAGCGUUGUCCGGAAUUACUGGGUGUAAA